RNAcentral lists this ribosomal RNA (403 nucleotides) under uncultured bacterium. RNAcentral's name for it is "partial 16S ribosomal RNA". It matches the Rfam family "Bacterial small subunit ribosomal RNA", at positions 29 to 526 of the family's 1533-position model. The record is from RNAcentral.
AUUGAACGCUGGCGGCAGGCCUAACACAUGCAAGUCGAGCGAGCGGCGGACGGGUGAGUAAUGUAUGGGGACUGCCCGAUAGAGGGGGAUAACUACUGGAAACGGUGGCUAAUACCGCCUACUAUCGGAGAACCCAUAUGGGCUUAGCUAGGAGGUGGGGUAAAGGCUCACCUAGGCGACGAUCUCUAGCUGGUCUGAGAGGAUGAUCAGCCAAAUUGGGACGUAGACAAGGCCAAGACUCCUCCGGGGGCAGCAUGGGGGAAUAUUGCACAAGGGGCGAAAUCCUGAUGCAGCCAGGCCGCGUGUAUGAAGAAGGCCUUAGGGUUGUAAAGUACGUUCAGCGGGACGGCGGUACCCGCAGAAGAAGCACCGGCUAACUCCGUGCCAGCCGCCGCGGUAAUAC